AGCAAGAAUGGUUGGUAAGUACUUAUUCUGCUAUCCUUCUUAUCUGUUUUUUCUGAAGCCUUUGCCAAGCUUUUUAUGUAGAGCCAUUAUACUUCCCCCCAUGAGAGUUAAGGUACAUUCAACUAUGCUGUAAAAGGAAAUUCGCAAUUGUAUUUAUUGCUGCAAAACGCCUUUGAAGUUCAGAUUAACUUGUCUAAUUGCAAAAGAUUUAUUAGAUCAUCUUGUGUUUUGUUUUGUUUUGU
This 242-nucleotide unclassified non-coding RNA is filed under the name Hevea brasiliensis (rubber tree). The record is from RNAcentral. Lineage: Eukaryota; Viridiplantae; Streptophyta; Magnoliopsida; Malpighiales; Euphorbiaceae.